RNAcentral lists this long non-coding RNA (2236 nucleotides) under Ananas comosus (pineapple). Its description in RNAcentral is "long non-coding RNA (ACOM_LNC016811)". The record is from RNAcentral. Lineage: Eukaryota; Viridiplantae; Streptophyta; Magnoliopsida; Poales; Bromeliaceae.
UAUUUAGUAAUAGUUGUUUUAUUAAAAGUUGGAUUUCUGAUUUAAAAGUUUCCGAUAAAAAUAAAAAAUAAUAAAUUUAGAGAGUGAUUUGUUCGGGGCUUAGUCCCCCACUUGUACCUAAACACUAUGUAGAGAGUUUGGAAACAGCAAUUCUCGAUUUUGGAGAAUAAGCAGGUAUAAGUUGGAAUAGGCUUGAAACUGUUGUUUCAGUCCUUUUGGGUAGCGUUUGGUUUGGGAACAAGAGGGGGAAUAAGCUCUUGUUCCCCCCUUUGUUCUCAAACGGUAUGUUUGGUUUCCGGAAACAGUAAUUCCCGGGAAUCUGGAACAAGCUCGUAUAAGGCUAGAACUGCUGUUCCACCUGUUUCCUGAAACAAGCUUGUUCCUUGAUGAGAGCAAGGUUAAUUAAAAUCGAAAUUUAAUUUUAAUGACAACAAAUUAUUAAUUAAUCUAAUUAAUAUAUUUAAAUCAUUAUUUAUUGCUUUAAUAAUUAAAUAAUUUAUUUAUUUAUUAUUUAUAAUUAAUUAUUAAUAAUUAAUAAUAUUCAUGAUUAUUUAUUAAUAAUUAUUAAUAAUUAUUAUUCUUAAUGAUAAUCGAUAUUAUUAUUAAUUUGUUAUUUAUAAUUAAUAAUUAAUUAUUAUUAUUAUUAUUAUUAUUAUUAUUAUUUAUUAAUCAUUAUUAAUUAAUUAUUAUUAUUCUUAAUAAUUAGAUAAUCGAUAUUAUUAUUAAUUUAUUAUUAUUAAUUAAUUANUUAUUAAUAAUUAUUAUUCUUAAUAAUUAGAUAAUCGAUAUUAUUAUUAAUUUAUUAUUUAUAAAUAAUUAUUAAUAAUUAUUAUUAUUUAUUAAUAAAUAUUAAUAUUAAUUAUUAUUAAUAAUUAGAGAAUAAAUAUUAUUAUUACUUUAUUAUUUAUAAUUAAUUAAUAAGAAUAAUUACUAAUUACUAUUAUUUAUUAAAAAUAAUUAUUAAUAAUAAUUAUUAUUAUUAAUUAGAUAUUCAAUAUUAUUAAUUAAUUAUUUGUAAUUAAUUAUUAAUAAUCAUUAAUAAUAAUUAUUAUUUAUAAUUAAUUAUUAAUAAUUAAUUUCUUAUUUAUUUUUACCUAAUAUUUUGAUGUUAACUAAUUACAUAAUAUAAUUUUAAUUUCAAAUUAUAACUCUUAUUCCUCUAGUUCCAAUCUAACCAUCCAAACACUAUUUACCUUAUUCCUAUGAACAACUCAAUUUUUAUCCAAACGCAAAAUUGGUCUAGUUCCUGCUUAUACCUGAACUUGGACCUAUCUCUGGAACUAGCAGUUCUUACUUAUACCCGAACCAAACGCAGCCUUGGAGAACAAGUUUUUACAACUUGAGAAAAAAAUUAAUUAUAGUAAAAAUAUAAUUUUAAUUAUCAUAUUAUCUCUUUGAUUAAUCUAAUAUUUGAUCAAUCAAAUUAUUUUAUUAACUAAUUAUCUAGCUAUAUUUUAAUUAAUUAAUUAAUUAAUUACAUUGCCUUUGGUUAAUUAAAUUAUUAAUUAACAGCAUACCUUCUUAAUUAUUUAACUAAUUAAUAUUUAGGUUUAUGUUGCAGUAUUCAUUAUUAGUUAAUUAAAUAAGUUAAAUUAUUAUUUAAUUAAUAUUUCAUAUUAAUUAAUUAUAUAAUUUCUUAACUAAUUAUCUAGCUACAAUAAUUUACUAACUAAUUAAAAACAUAAGGCCAAUUUGCAUAAAAAAUUCAUUAGUUUUGAACUUUAGCAAAAGUAGGCUAUUUUUUUGGAUUUUACAGAUUCGGUCUGAAUUUUAAAAAAACUGACCAAAAUACCCUUAUUUCCUUUUCUCUCUCUCUCUUUUUCUUUCUUUUUUUUUUUCUUUCGUUCUUUUUUUCUUUCUCUUUGAAGAGUGCGGCGGAGGCGGAGGCGGAGGUCGAGGUGGAGGUGGAGGCCGACUACCUCACCUCUGUCCCGCGUGUCCUUACCCUCGCCUGCGCACCCUCCCUUCACCCUUCUCGCCUCCGACCCCAUCGAGGCCGCGCCACUACCCUCUUUUUUUUUUUUUUUUUUCUCUUCGACCCUUCUCCACCACCUCCCCAACUCUUUAAACCAGUAAAGAGGGCAGUAUUACAUCCUCUUCUUCUCCUUUUUUUCUUUCGUUUUUUUUUUUUCUCUUCACACUCUCCACUGCCUUCGCGACCCCCCACCACGGUAACGAGGACAACGCCGCAUUCUCUUCCUCCACCUUCGCCGGCGCAAACACCAAUGCUGAUGCC